Molecule: long non-coding RNA, 263 nt
Filed under: Spirodela polyrhiza (greater duckweed)
Lineage: Eukaryota; Viridiplantae; Streptophyta; Magnoliopsida; Alismatales; Araceae
Description: long non-coding RNA (SPOL_LNC001383)
Source: RNAcentral
UUCUCUUCCUCUCUCGCUCUCGCUGUUGACUUGGCUCCUCCCUCCCUCUCUCUUUUCGCGUUUCGCCCUGGCUUACUACCUGAAACGAGGCGAGGCGAGUAAACCAAGAUCAAGAAAAGAAGGAAGCCAAGAGAGACGGUGGGUAGUCAGAGCGACGGUCAAUCGAGGCACGAGGCACGCCUCCGCGGAGACGCGGCGCGUCGGAGAAGUUAGAAAAUACGCGAUCUACUCCUCUUGGUUUACGCGCAUAAAUUUGAGAAAAC